Molecule: ribosomal RNA, 253 nt
Filed under: uncultured bacterium
Lineage: Bacteria
Description: partial 16S ribosomal RNA
Rfam family: Bacterial small subunit ribosomal RNA
Source: RNAcentral
UACGUAGGGGGCAAGCGUUGUCCGGAAUUAUUGGGCGUAAAGAGCGUGUAGGCGGUCCGGUAAGUCAGCUGUGAAAGUCAAGGGCUCAACCCUUGAAAGCCGGUUGAUACUGUCGGGCUAGAGUCCGGAAGAGGCGAGUGGAAUUCCCGGUGUAGCGGUGAAAUGCGCAGAUAUCGGGAGGAACACUAAUGGCGAAGGCAGCUCGCUGGGACGGUACUGACGCUGAGACGCGAAAGCGUGGGGAGCAAACAGG